Molecule: ribosomal RNA, 339 nt
Filed under: uncultured Bacillota bacterium
Lineage: Bacteria; Bacillati; Bacillota
Description: bacterial SSU rRNA
Rfam family: Bacterial small subunit ribosomal RNA
Source: RNAcentral
GACGAACGCUGGCGGCGUGCCUAAUACAUGCAAGUCGAACGGUUCUAUUCUUGAAGCUUGCUUCAAGGAUGGGAUAGUGGCGGACGGGUGAGUAACACGUAGGCAACCUGGCGUCAAGACCGGGAUAACCCGCGGAAACGCGAGCUAAGACCGGAUAGGAAACCCCCGCACCUGCGGGAGUUUGGAAACCUGGUGCAAGCCAGGACUUGACGAUGGGCCUGCGGCGCAUUAGCUAGUAGGUGAGGUAACGGCUCACCUAGGCGACGAUGCGUAGCCGACCUGAGAGGGUGAUCGGCCACACUGGGACUGAGACACGGCCCAGACUCCUACGGGUGGCAG